CCUACGGGAGGCAGCAGUGGGGAAUAUUGGACAAUGGGGGGAACCCUGAUCCAGCGACGCCGCGUGAGUGAAGAAGUAUUUCGGUAUGUAAAGCUCUAUCAGCAGGGAAGAAAGAAAUGACGGUACCUGACUAAGAAGCCCCGGCUAACUACGUGCCAGCAGCCGCGGUAAUACGUAGGGGGCAAGCGUUAUCCGGAUUUACUGGGGGUAAAGGGAGCGUAGACGGCGAUGCAAGUCUGAAGUGAAAGGCGGGGGCUCAACCCCCGGACUGCUUUGGAAACUGUAUGGCUGGAGUGCAGGAGAGGGAAGUGGAAUUCCUAGGGUAGCGGUGAAAUGCGUAGAUAUUAGGAGGAACACCAGUGGCGAAGGCGGCUUACUGGACUGUAACUGACGUUGAGGCUCGAAAGCGUGGGGAGCAAACAGGAUUAGAUACCCCGGUAGUC
Molecule: ribosomal RNA, 443 nt
Filed under: uncultured bacterium
Lineage: Bacteria
Description: partial 16S ribosomal RNA
Rfam family: Bacterial small subunit ribosomal RNA
Source: RNAcentral